GUGUUGGAAAGGUGAAUAUCAUGGAAUUCCAGGUUAUUAGAACAAAGUGUUCUUGUGUUGAGGGAGUACUUGAGUUGUGGCCCAACGUCCAUUUGCUACCUUGAUAAUUAACAUA
RNAcentral lists this microRNA precursor (115 nucleotides) under Echinops telfairi (small Madagascar hedgehog). RNAcentral's name for it is "miRNA (ENSETEG00000024506.1)". The record is from RNAcentral. Lineage: Eukaryota; Metazoa; Chordata; Mammalia; Afrosoricida; Tenrecidae.